UGGGGAAUAUUGGACAAUGGGCGAAAGCCUGAUCCAGCCAUGCCGCGUGUGUGAAGAAGGUCUUCGGAUUGUAAAGCACUUUAAGUUGGGAGGAAGGGCAGUUACCUAAUACGUAUCUGUUUUGACGUUACCGACAGAAUAAGCACCGGCUAACUCUGUGCCAGCAGCCGCGGUAAUACAGAGGGUGCAAGCGUUAAUCGGAAUUACUGGGCGUAAAGCGCGCGUAGGUGGUUUGUUAAGUUGGAUGUGAAAUCCCCGGGCUCAACCUGGGAACUGCAUUCAAAACUGACAAGCUAGAGUAUGGUAGAGGGUGGUGGAAUUUCCUGUGUAGCGGUGAAAUGCGUAGAUAUCAAGAGGAACACCUGAGGUGAAGACGGGUUGCUGGGCUGACACUGACGCUGAGGCGCGAAAGCGUGGGGAGCAAACAGGAUUAGAUACCCACGUAGUCCCUGAGCGGGCUGGCAAGGCGCAU
RNAcentral lists this ribosomal RNA (472 nucleotides) under uncultured bacterium. RNAcentral describes it as "bacterial SSU rRNA". It matches the Rfam family "Bacterial small subunit ribosomal RNA", at positions 355 to 825 of the family's 1533-position model. The record is from RNAcentral.